GCCCUUGGGCUUGACAUCCCACGAACCUGGUGAAAGCCGGGAGUGCCCGCAAGGGAGCGCAGAGACAGGUGGUGCAUGGCUGUCGUCAGCUCGUGUCGUGAGAUGUUGGGUUAAGUCCCGCAACGAGCGCAACCCUCACCCUUUGUUGCCACCAGGUUAUGCUGGGCACUCUAAGGGAACUGCCUCGGUUAACGAGGAGGAAGGUGGGGAUGACGUCAAGUCAUCAUGCCCCUUACGCUCUGGGCUACACACGUGCUACAAUGGCCAAUACAAAGGGCUGCAAACCCGCGAGGGCAAGCCAAUCCCAAAAAAUUGGUCUCAGUUCAGAUUGUAGGCUGUAACCCGCCUGCAUGAAGGAGGAAUCGCUAGUAAUCGUGGAUCAGCAUGCCACGGUGAAUACGUUCCCGGGCCUUGUACACACCGCCCGUCACACCACGAAAGUCUGCUGUACUCGAAGUCGCUGAGAAGGGC
RNAcentral lists this ribosomal RNA (471 nucleotides) under uncultured Methylomirabilota bacterium. Its description in RNAcentral is "bacterial SSU rRNA". It matches the Rfam family "Bacterial small subunit ribosomal RNA", at positions 966 to 1440 of the family's 1533-position model. Lineage: Bacteria; Methylomirabilota (SeqCode). The record is from RNAcentral.